GAUGAACGCUGGCGGCGUGCCUAAUACAUGCAAGUCGAGCGAACAGACGAGGAGCUUGCUCCUUUGACGUUAGCGGCGGGCGGGUGAGUAACACGUGGGUAACCUACCUAUAAGACUGGGAUAACUUCGGGAAACCGGAGCUAAUACCGGAUAAUAUUUCGAACCGCAUGGUUCGAUAGUGAAAGAUGGCUUUGCUAUCACUUAUAGAUGGACCUGCGCCGUAUUAGCUAGUUGGUAAGGUAACGGCUUACCAAGGCAACGAUACGUAGCCGACCUGAGAGGGUGAUCGGCCACACUGGAACUGAGACACGGUCCAGACUCCUACGGGAGGCAGCAGUAGGGAAUCUUCCGCAAUGGGCGAAAGCCUGACGGAGCAACGCCGCGUGAGUGAUGAAGGUCUUCGGAUCGUAAAACUCUGUUAUUAGGGAAGAACAAACGUGUAUGUAACUGUGCACGUCUUGACGGUACCUAAUCAGAAAGCCACGGCUAACUACGUG
This 497-nucleotide ribosomal RNA is filed under the name uncultured bacterium. RNAcentral's name for it is "partial 16S ribosomal RNA". It matches the Rfam family "Bacterial small subunit ribosomal RNA", at positions 28 to 507 of the family's 1533-position model. The record is from RNAcentral.